AAAGACCAGUGAGGCCCAUUCUACGCCCCUGGCAUUAUGGAAUGUUAUGUCAUGCUAUGUUAUGAUUAUGUAAGAGAAAGACCAGUGAGGCCCAUUCUACGCCCCUGGCACAGUUGGAUCAUGUAGAGGACUAUUGGUGACAAAUUCAUCCUUGAUGUGAUUAGCUGUGAUGUGAUGCAUUUCAUGUUAUCAUAUGUUUCAAAUGUUUUAUUAUUCUGCUC
Molecule: long non-coding RNA, 221 nt
Filed under: Manihot esculenta (cassava)
Lineage: Eukaryota; Viridiplantae; Streptophyta; Magnoliopsida; Malpighiales; Euphorbiaceae
Description: long non-coding RNA (MESC_LNC007465)
Source: RNAcentral